Molecule: RNA transcript, 320 nt
Organism: Pyrus x bretschneideri (Chinese white pear)
Lineage: Eukaryota; Viridiplantae; Streptophyta; Magnoliopsida; Rosales; Rosaceae
Exons: 2
Source: RefSeq, a predicted model, not a curated record
UUUUUAAUGUGUUUAGAUGGAAAACAGGGCAUGCUGCAUUUUGUUUAAAGGUUUUAAAAGUCUAGUGGUUUACCAUGAGAAGGACAUGGAUAUCAGAGUUCUUAAUAAAGUUGCACUUCGAAAUAAGCCAGGGUACUUCCUGCUUUCAACAUCCUAUUUCUUUUCGACUUUUGUAGCAAGGGAGGGGAGGGGGUUACAAAACUUGCACGAAGUAAUCUUUCAUUUGAUGAAUCACCAAGACUUCAUUCUUUAUUGUUGAUUCUAGCAAAUGUAAGUUGUAAAUCCUUUAUGAAUAUAUAAAAGUCAUCAUGAAAUUCAAA